AGGACGAACGCUGGCGGCGUGCUUAACACAUGCAAGUCGAACGGAAAGGCCCGCUUGCGGGUACUCGAGUGGCGAACGGGUGAGUAACACGUGGGCAACCUGCCCUCAGCUCUGGGAUAACUCCGGGAAACCGGUGCUAAUACUGGAUAUCGACUUCUGCCUCGCAUGGGGUGUUGUUGAAAGUUUUUCGGCUGGGGAUGGGCCCGCGGCCUAUCAGCUUGUUGGUGGGGUGAUGGCCUACCAAGGCGACGACGGGUAGCCGGCCUGAGAGGGCGACCGGCCACACUGGGACUGAGACACGGCCCAGACUCCUACGGGAGGCAGCAGUGGGGAAUAUUGCGCAAUGGGCGGAAGCCUGACGCAGCGACGCCGCGUGAGGGAUGACGGCCUCGGGUUGUAAACCUCUUCAGCUCUGACGAAGCGAGAGUGACGGUAGGAGCAGAAGAAGCACCGGCCAACUACGUGCCAGCAGCCGC
Molecule: ribosomal RNA, 476 nt
Filed under: uncultured bacterium
Lineage: Bacteria
Description: SSU rRNA
Rfam family: Bacterial small subunit ribosomal RNA
Source: RNAcentral